RNAcentral lists this long non-coding RNA (1157 nucleotides) under Capsicum annuum. Its description in RNAcentral is "long non-coding RNA (CANN_LNC012804)". The record is from RNAcentral. Lineage: Eukaryota; Viridiplantae; Streptophyta; Magnoliopsida; Solanales; Solanaceae.
CUCAAGAGUGAACAAAAAAGCUAGGUUGAAAGGUAAUAAAGGUAGGGUUCAAGCUAUGGGCUUCUCUUCUUGCUAUUUUCGAAAAAAGAUUUCCUCAAAAAGGCAUGUUGGACUCUUUCUUAUUUCAAUUAUAAAUAAAUUGUGAUAUUUACUUGAUAGUCUUAUGUUUUAUUGAUUGUUUAAUAAUCUAGGGUUGAGGAAUUUGGUUAUCAUAUACUUGCAUUGAUUUCUCCUUGUCUUAAUGGUAUUUACAUGGUUAAUUAUUGGGUUGUAAACGGAAGUGUGGCUUACAAAAGGGAAAUUUUGUUAUCUUGAUUUCAUAAUUGGACAUAGUUUUUGCAUGCUAAAGAUAUGAAGUGGACAUGGUUAAAUAAAUUUAGCAUGGCAUAAUUGAAAUCGCUCGCAAGUCUUGGUAUGACGGUACCAGUGUGAAAAUGUCUUAAUAAAAGACUCCAUGACUAAUGGUAUGUGAAAAAUAUUUUAAUUGGGCUUAAAGAAAAUUGUGUAGCUUCACCCAAAUAAUGUAGUUCCGGGGGACCAACACUUGAAAUCACGUGCGUCAACGUCUUGUCCUGAAAUAUGAAUGACCACUAUGUACUUGCUUCAUACAGUAGUACACAGUUACUUUCUAUUGUCUAUUGGUGACUUUAGCCUAAUCCUCGAUCCAUGAGGACAACAUGGAUUGAGGCCUUUUCGGCAGGACAAAUCGGACCUAUAUAGCACGUGGGUGCUUGAAGGUCAGUGCAAGCUACAUAGUUCAGGAUUAAAUUUUAAAUGGUCAUAUUUCAUGUUCAUUGCCCCUACCCCGACAUUCUGUUAUUUUGAUGGUUGUUGAACAUAUGUUUUAUGACUGAUUUUUAAUAAAUGUAUAUUUUAUUCCUUUUCUUGGGUUGCAUGUCAGUACUGACCGUCUCCGAGUGCUACAUCAUUUCAUGAUAUAUGCUCAGAGGCCUUUUCUUGUGACACUAUGAAACAUUAGGUAAUUCGGUAUUCCUAUUGGACAGCUGGUGAAGUGGUGAGUCUACCAUCAUUCGAAAGGUCUUCUUUCCUUUUUAGUCUUUUCACUUUUUCAGUACUUUUGGUUUUCUUCUGGCAUAAUCGGGGUCAUGUCCCGACUUGAUCUGUAUUUCAUGGUUAGAGGCUUUGUAGACAGUGUU